GGCUUCGUAGGUCAAUUGGCUAGAGCGUCGGCUGUACUAAAGCCUUCCUCCUGCUGGCGUGGGUUCGAAUCCCACCGUCGCCG
RNAcentral lists this transfer RNA (83 nucleotides) under Schistocephalus solidus. It matches the Rfam family "tRNA". From Rfam's summary of the family: Transfer RNA (tRNA) molecules are approximately 80 nucleotides in length. Their secondary structure includes four short double-helical elements and three loops (D, anti-codon, and T loops). Further hydrogen bonds mediate the characteristic L-shaped molecular structure. tRNAs have two regions of fundamental functional importance: the anti-codon, which is responsible for specific mRNA codon recognition, and the 3' end, to which the tRNAs corresponding amino acid is attached (by aminoacyl-tRNA synthetases). tRNAs cope with the degeneracy of the genetic code in two manners: having more than one tRNA (with a specific anti-codon) for a particular amino acid; and 'wobble' base-pairing, i.e. permitting non-standard base-pairing at the 3rd anti-codon position. The record is from Rfam by way of RNAcentral. Lineage: Eukaryota; Metazoa; Platyhelminthes; Cestoda; Diphyllobothriidea; Diphyllobothriidae.